Molecule: ribosomal RNA, 378 nt
Filed under: uncultured soil bacterium
Lineage: Bacteria
Description: bacterial SSU rRNA
Rfam family: Bacterial small subunit ribosomal RNA
Source: RNAcentral
GGGACGAACGCUGGCGGCGUGCUUAACACAUGCAAGUCGAGCGGUAAGGCUCCUUCGGGAGUACACGAGCGGCGAACGGGUGAGUAACACGUGAGCAAUCUGCCCUUCUCUUCGGAAUAACCAUUGGAAACGAUGGCUAAUGCCGAAUACGACCUCCUUUCGCAUGAUCGGAGGUGGAAAGCUCCGGCGGAGAAGGAUGAGCUCGCGGCCUAUCAGCUAGUGGCGGGGUACGCCACGAAGGCGACGACGGGUAGCCGGCCUGAGAGGGUCGACCGGCCACGACUGGGACUGGAGACCACGGCCCAGACUCCGUACGGGAGGCAGCAGGUGGGGAAUAGUUGGACAAGUGGGACGAAAGCUGAUCAGACAACGCCGCGU